GCUUACUCUUCUGCCAGCCACUGAUUUCUGAUUUAGUGCUGCUCUUGUCAGGGGCUGUGAGGUGCCUUCCAUGCACUGACAGAGCAGCUCAAGGGCAAGUGUGGACAGGUGAUGAAAUACACCAGUGAACAGAGCAUGCAUUCACAGGGGGACCAGAGAGGCAGAGGGUCUCUCAGAGCAGAUGCUAAAACUGAUGAUGAUGGAUGUCUACAUGGAGACUGUUGAGUGAUCAGGGGAGGCUCAUGUAGAUUCUACAUUUUCCAUUGUUUCAUGAAAUCUUAUAUGCAAAUUUACAGGGACAAUUAGUCUCACACCAAUGCAGGGUGGCACUCUGAGAUUUCGCUUUUUAUCAAGAUUUUUCAUGUUUCUCAUGUUUUGCAUUGUAUAUCAUAUGUUUUUAAAAUAUUAAUUUGAAAAAGAGUGAAAAAGUGGAUAGAUUUUUAUGUUACUACAGGCAUUACAGUAAUUACUUGAU
This is a long non-coding RNA of Cyprinus carpio carpio, 475 nucleotides long. The record is from Ensembl. Lineage: Eukaryota; Metazoa; Chordata; Actinopteri; Cypriniformes; Cyprinidae.